AGAGUUUGAUCCUGGCUCAGGAUGAACGCUAGCGGCAGGCCUAACACAUGCAAGUCGAGGGGUAACAGAAAAGCUUGCUUUUGCUGACGACCGGCGCACGGGUGCGUAACGCGUAUGCAACCUACCUCAUACUGGAGGAUAGCCCCUGGAAACGGGGAUUAAUACUCCAUAGUAUCACAAUUUCGCAUGUUAUUGUGAUUAAAGUUUUUCGGUAUGAGAUGGGCAUGCGUCCCAUUAGCUUGUUGGUGAGGUAACGGCUCACCAAGGCAACGAUGGGUAGGGGGCCUGAGAGGGUGGUCCCCCACACUGGUACUGAGACACGGACCAGACUCCUACGGGAGGCAGCAGUGAGGAAUAUUGGUCAAUGGAGGAAACUCUGAACCAGCCAUGCCGCGUGAAGGAUGACGGCCCUAUGGGUUGUAAACUUCUUUUAUAGAGGAAGAAACUUGUCUACGUGUAGACAACUGACGGUACUCUACGAAUAAGGAUCGGCUAACUCCGUGCCAGCAGCCGCGGUAAUACGGAGGAUCCAAGCGUUAUCCGGAUUCAUUGGGUUUAAAGGGUCCGUAGCGGAUUUUUAAGUCAGUGGUGAAAGCCGACAGCUCAACUGUCGAACUGCCAUUGAUACUGGAAAUCUUGAGUACAAAUGAAGUAGGCGGAAUGAGUCAUGUAGCGGUGAAAUGCAUAGAUAUGACUCAGAACACCGAUUGCGAAGGCAGCUUACUAACAUGUAACUGACGCUGAGGGACAAAAGCGUGGGGAGCGAACAGGAUUAGAUACCCUGGUAGUCCACGCCGUAAACGAUCAUCACUCGCUGUUGGCGAUAUACUGUCAGCGGCCAAGCGAAAGUAUUAAGUGAUGCACCUGGGGAGUACGCCGGCAACGUGAAACUCAAAGGAAUUGACGGGGGCCCGCACAAGCGGUGGAGCAUGUGGUUUAAUUCGAUGAUACGCGAGGACCUUACCAGGGCUUAAAUGUAGUUUGACCGGCUUGGAAACAGGCCUUCUCUUC
Molecule: ribosomal RNA, 1011 nt
Filed under: uncultured Bacteroidota bacterium
Lineage: Bacteria; Pseudomonadati; Bacteroidota
Description: bacterial SSU rRNA
Rfam family: Bacterial small subunit ribosomal RNA
Source: RNAcentral